GAUGAAGAACGUAGUGAAAUGCGAUAAGUAAUGUGAAUUGCAGAAUUCAGUGAAUCAUCGAAUCUUUGAACGCACAUUGCGCCCCCUGGAAUUCCGGGGGGCAUGCCUGUUCGAGCGUCUCAGGGACGAACCCUCGCGCGGGUGUACGCGCGGUCGUGGCUGCGGUGGCGUGCCCGAGGCGGCGGCCACCGCGCUGGAAUCCAUGGGCGGACGCCUGCCGCGUGGCCGAGCGUGAUAUGACGCAUUGACGCUCGCACGCGGCGAGGCUGCCAGCCCUGGCCCGUCUGUCGGGCGGGGGAGAGCAAGACACGUGAACUCCUCGAAUCAGGUAGGGAUACCCGCUGAACUUAAGCAUAUCAAUAAGCGGAGGA
This 371-nucleotide unclassified non-coding RNA is filed under the name soil metagenome. RNAcentral describes it as "partial contains 5.8S ribosomal RNA, internal transcribed spacer 2, and large subunit ribosomal RNA". The stretch from base 1 to 120 matches the Rfam family "5.8S ribosomal RNA", at positions 35 to 154 of the family's 154-position model. The record is from RNAcentral.